Molecule: ribosomal RNA, 497 nt
Filed under: uncultured bacterium
Lineage: Bacteria
Description: partial 16S ribosomal RNA
Rfam family: Bacterial small subunit ribosomal RNA
Source: RNAcentral
AGUGAACGCUGGCGGCGUGCCUAAUACAUGCAAGUCGAACGACAACACAAUAAGCUUUUUCUCUUAACGUUAGCGGCUGACGGACGAGUAACACGUACAUCACCUACUUCUAUUACUUGGAUAACUUCGUAAAACCGCAUCUGCUACCGCAUCAUAUAUUCUACCGCUUAAUUCAGUAGUUAAUGACAGCUUUCCUGUCUCUUUUAGACGAUUCCGCGCCGCCUUAGCUAGUUGGUAAGGGAACGGCUUACCAAGGCUACGAUGCGUAGCCGACCUGAGAGGAUGAUCGGCCACACUGGAACUGAGACACGGUCCAGACUCCUACGGGAGGCAGCAGUGGGGAAUAUUGGACAAUGGGCGAAAGCCUGAUGCAGCAAUGCCGCGUGAGUGAUGAAGGUCUUCGGAUCGUAAAGCCCUUUUAUUGGGAAAGAAAAAAAGUGGAUGUAACCACGCAUGUUCUGACGGUACCUAAAGAAAAAGCAACGGCUAACUUCGUG